This 254-nucleotide ribosomal RNA is filed under the name uncultured bacterium. RNAcentral's name for it is "partial 16S ribosomal RNA". It matches the Rfam family "Bacterial small subunit ribosomal RNA", at positions 524 to 776 of the family's 1533-position model. The record is from RNAcentral.
UACGAAGGGGGCUAGCGUUGCUCGGAAUCACUGGGCGUAAAGGGUGCGUAGGCGGGUCUUUAAGUCAGGGGUGAAAUCCUGGAGCUCAACUCCAGAACUGCCCUUGAUACUGAAGAUCUUGAGUUCGGGAGAGGUGAGUGGAACUGCGAGUGUAGAGGUGAAAUUCGUAGAUAUUCGCAAGAACACCAGUGGCGAAGGCGGCUCACUGGCCCGAUACUGACGCUGAGGCACGAAAGCGUGGGGGAGCAAACAGG